RNAcentral lists this ribosomal RNA (147 nucleotides) under uncultured bacterium. RNAcentral's name for it is "partial 16S ribosomal RNA". It matches the Rfam family "Bacterial small subunit ribosomal RNA", at positions 353 to 516 of the family's 1533-position model. The record is from RNAcentral.
UGGGGGGAGUAUUGCACAAUGGGGGGAACCCGUGAUGCAGCGACGCCGCGUGGGUGAAGAAGCGCCUCGGCGCGUAAAGCCCUGUCAGCAGGGAAGAAAAUGACGGUACCUGAAGAAGAAGCCCCGGCUAACUACGUGCCAGCAGCC